This is a long non-coding RNA of Sinocyclocheilus grahami, 484 nucleotides long. NCBI's taxonomy places the organism in Eukaryota, Metazoa, Chordata, Actinopteri, Cypriniformes, Cyprinidae. The record is from Ensembl.
GCAAAACUAGAGAGAUAGAGCUUGCAUUAUUUUUGCAGUCUGCGGUUCCAUAACCUCGACCAAUAACGAAAUGAGGAUAAUUAUUACUACUGUUAUUCUUCUGUUUUGUGUGGAAUUUCUGAACUGCAACCAUAACAAAGACAGCGAAGUCUGGAACAACUUUCACUGGAGAGUUGGACUUUGAACCCUGACAGCAGCUGACUUCACCUUAGUAAGGCUAUGCAACUCUGUUGUGUAACACAGAACUGCAAAUCUGUACUCACUCACACACACACACAAAAAGAAUAAAACUUCUAUCUAUUUUUUUUCUGACCUGUGGAUUACUAUGCUGUUUGGAAGAAGAAAAUGUGUGGACUGUACUUGCCUAAAAAUGGACACCAGAUUGUAUGUUAAAGGGGUCAUCGGAUGCAAAAUUGGACUGGACUGGUGUCUUACCUUUGACCCACCCUGAGUGAGCUGUCAUCAGUCCGCCAUUGUGUUGACU